AUUGGACUAAGCAGUUGAAGAUGAGUGAGUGAGCUCUUUAUCAUAUACCGUAUUUUUCGGGCUAUAAGUCACACUUUUUUACAUGUUUUGGCCGGGGGUGCGACCUAUACUCCAGAGCGACUUAUAAAUGAAAAAUAUACCGGUAGAUUCUCAGUUAAUUUACCGUAAUAAAACAAUUUUACAUGACAGAGUC
Long non-coding RNA from Thalassophryne amazonica, 193 nucleotides. RefSeq lists it as uncharacterized. The transcript is spliced from 4 exons. The record is from RefSeq and is a predicted model, not a curated record. Lineage: Eukaryota; Metazoa; Chordata; Actinopteri; Batrachoidiformes; Batrachoididae.